GCGCCCGUAGCUCAGCUGGAUAGAGCGUUGGCCUCCGGAGCCAAAGGUCACAGGUUCGAAUCCUGUCGAGCGCACCA
RNAcentral lists this transfer RNA (77 nucleotides) under Gammaproteobacteria bacterium. RNAcentral's name for it is "tRNA-Arg". It matches the Rfam family "tRNA". From Rfam's summary of the family: Transfer RNA (tRNA) molecules are approximately 80 nucleotides in length. Their secondary structure includes four short double-helical elements and three loops (D, anti-codon, and T loops). Further hydrogen bonds mediate the characteristic L-shaped molecular structure. tRNAs have two regions of fundamental functional importance: the anti-codon, which is responsible for specific mRNA codon recognition, and the 3' end, to which the tRNAs corresponding amino acid is attached (by aminoacyl-tRNA synthetases). tRNAs cope with the degeneracy of the genetic code in two manners: having more than one tRNA (with a specific anti-codon) for a particular amino acid; and 'wobble' base-pairing, i.e. permitting non-standard base-pairing at the 3rd anti-codon position. Lineage: Bacteria; Pseudomonadati; Pseudomonadota; Gammaproteobacteria. The record is from RNAcentral.